GACGAACGCUGGCGGCGUGCUUAACACAUGCAAGUCGAACGGAGCGAAUGAAAGCUUGCUUUUAUGAGCUUAGUGGCAAACGGGUGAGUAACACGUAGACAACCUGCCGACAGGAUGGGGACAACAUUCCGAAAGGAAUGCUAAUACCGAAUGAAGCGGAGGAGAGGCAUCUCUCCUCCGUGAAAGAUGGCCUCUAUAUAUAAGCUAUCACCUGUUGAUGGGUCUGCGUCUGAUUAGCUGGUUGGUGAGGUAACGGCUCACCAAGGCGACGAUCAGUAGCCGGUCUGAGAGGAUGAACGGCCACAUUGGGACUGAGACACGGCCCAGACUCCUACGGGAGGCAGCAGUGGGGAAUCUUCCGCAAUGGGCGCAAGCCUGACGGAGCAACGCCGCGUGAGUGAAGAAGGUCUUCGGAUCGUAAAGCUCUGUUGACGGGGACGAACGUGCGGAGUGCGAACAGCGCUU
This 465-nucleotide ribosomal RNA is filed under the name Centipeda dianae. Its description in RNAcentral is "bacterial SSU rRNA". It matches the Rfam family "Bacterial small subunit ribosomal RNA", at positions 28 to 469 of the family's 1533-position model. The record is from RNAcentral. Lineage: Bacteria; Bacillati; Bacillota; Negativicutes; Selenomonadales; Selenomonadaceae.